GUUCAACUUUUGUUUUCUACCCUUCUAGACAUUUUGUGCGUAUAUGUACACAUAUGUGAGUAGUAAAUGAGCACUUAAUUAGAAUAAUAGACCUUUCUCAUUAGUAUGAGUUCUUUUACUUCCUGUAAACAAGCACACUAAAAACUUUAAUUUUUUCAGAUGGACUGAGCUGUGUCCAAUGAUUGAAGCCAGGAAGAAUCAUGGGCUGGUAUUUGUAAAAGACAAGAUAUUUGCUGUGGGUGGUCAGAAUGGUUUAGGUGGUCUGGACAAUGUGGAAUAUUACGAUAUUAAGUUGAACGAAUGGAAGAUGGUCUCACCAAUGCCAUGGAAGGGUGUAACAGUGAAAUGUGCAGCAGUUGGCUCUAUAGUUUAUGUCUUGGCUGGUUUUCAGGGUGUUGGUCGAUUAGGACACAUUCUCGAAUAUAAUACCGAAAC
RNAcentral lists this small RNA (435 nucleotides) under Pan troglodytes (chimpanzee). RNAcentral describes it as "retained intron". Lineage: Eukaryota; Metazoa; Chordata; Mammalia; Primates; Hominidae. The record is from RNAcentral.